Molecule: long non-coding RNA, 453 nt
Filed under: Rattus norvegicus (Norway rat)
Lineage: Eukaryota; Metazoa; Chordata; Mammalia; Rodentia; Muridae
Description: long non-coding RNA NONRATT033666
Source: RNAcentral
CCAGGAUGCACCGGGCUCUAAUGUCCACCCGUCCCAGCAAAUCCAGGAGAAAAGGCCUCUAUCUAGUCAUUUAAGGCAACCACCACAGGAGUGAAGAUGAGGAUGUAGCCUCUCCUGAAGCCAGACGUGCCUGGAUCCUCUAUGCCAGCUCCCAGGAGAGUAGAACGCAGAAGGUUGUCAUGGAGCUGAUGUCACCCUGUCAUAUGCCCAGCCUCUGCAGCUCUCCCCGCAAGACAGUGGUCCUCUGGAGGGUCUAGAGCAUCUUAAGAGUAUAGCACCAGCAUCGUCUUGGCUUCUACCGAGAGCCUAGUGGAAGAAGAGCACAGAGGGAUGUACAGACAGAAGAGGAGACCCAAGGCCUAAAACAUCUAACUUAUUCUUACAAGGUAGACAUUAAUCUAUUCUGGAUCUUUCUCCUACCACCCUAACCCCACUAGACUCCAGCUCCCAACA